UACGUAGGGUGCAAGCGUUGUCCGGAAUUAUUGGGCGUAAAGAGCUCGUAGGCGGUUUGUCGCGUCUGCUGUGAAAACUCGGGGCUCAACUCCGAGCUUGCAGUGGGUACGGGCAGACUAGAGUGCGGUAGGGGAGACUGGAAUUCCUGGUGUAGCGGUGGAAUGCGCAGAUAUCAGGAGGAACACCGGUGGCGAAGGCGGGUCUCUGGGCCGUAACUGACGCUGAGGCGCGAAAGCGUGGGGAGCAAACAGG
Molecule: ribosomal RNA, 253 nt
Filed under: uncultured bacterium
Lineage: Bacteria
Description: partial 16S ribosomal RNA
Rfam family: Bacterial small subunit ribosomal RNA
Source: RNAcentral